GGAAGUAAAAGUUGUAACAAGGUCUCCGUUGGUGAACCAGCGGAGGGAUCAUUACCGAGUGCAAACUCAUAACCCUUUGUGAACCUAUAUCUGUUGCUUCGGCGGCUCGCUCUCGGGCGAGCCCGCCGGUAAUAUCAGUAUCUCUGUUUGAACCCGACGAUACUUCUGAGUGUUCUUAGCGAACAGUUAAAACUUUUAACAACGGAUCUCUUGGCUCUA
Molecule: unclassified non-coding RNA, 219 nt
Filed under: plant metagenome
Description: partial contains small subunit ribosomal RNA, internal transcribed spacer 1, and 5.8S ribosomal RNA
Rfam family: Eukaryotic small subunit ribosomal RNA (bases 1-54)
Source: RNAcentral